Molecule: ribosomal RNA, 775 nt
Filed under: uncultured Actinomycetes bacterium
Lineage: Bacteria; Bacillati; Actinomycetota; Actinomycetes
Description: bacterial SSU rRNA
Rfam family: Bacterial small subunit ribosomal RNA
Source: RNAcentral
GCUUGUAGGCGGUUUGUCGCGUCUGCUGUGAAAAUCCGGGGCUCAACCCCGGACUUGCAGUGGGUACGGGCAGACUUGAGUAUUGCAGGGGAGACUGGAAUUCCUGGUGUAGCGGUGAAAUGCGCAGAUAUCAGGAGGAACACCGGUGGCGAAGGCGGGUCUCUGGGCAAAUACUGACGCUGAGGAGCGAAAGCAUGGGUAGCAAACAGGAUUAGAUACCCUGGUAGUCCAUGCCGUAAACGUUGGGCGCUAGGUGUGGGGCUCAUUCCACGAGUUCCGUGCCGCAGCUAACGCAUUAAGCGCCCCGCCUGGGGAGUACGGCCGCAAGGCUAAAACUCAAAGGAAUUGACGGGGGCCCGCACAAGCGGCGGAGCAUGCGGAUUAAUUCGAUGCAACGCGAAGAACCUUACCAAGGCUUGACAUGCACCGGACGACUGCAGAGAUGUGGUUUCCCUUUGUGGCUGGUGUGCAGGUGGUGCAUGGUUGUCGUCAGCUCGUGUCGUGAGAUGUUGGGUUAAGUCCCGCAACGAGCGCAACCCUCGUUCCAUGUUGCCAGCGGGUUAUGCCGGGGACUCAUGGGAGACUGCCGGGGUCAACUCGGAGGAAGGUGGGGAUGACGUCAAAUCAUCAUGCCCCUUAUGUCUUGGGCUUCACGCAUGCUACAAUGGCUGGUACAGAGGGCUGCAAUACCGUGAGGUGGAGCGAAUCCCUUAAAACUGGUCUCAGUUCGGAUUGGGGUCUGCAACUCGACCCCAUGAAGUCGGAGUCGCUAGUA